This 598-nucleotide ribosomal RNA is filed under the name Dothiorella viticola. Its description in RNAcentral is "eukaryotic LSU rRNA". It matches the Rfam family "Eukaryotic large subunit ribosomal RNA", at positions 91 to 704 of the family's 3401-position model. The record is from RNAcentral. Lineage: Eukaryota; Fungi; Ascomycota; Dothideomycetes; Botryosphaeriales; Botryosphaeriaceae.
GAGUGAAGCGGCAAUAGCUCAAAUUUGAAAGCUGGCCCCUUUGGGGUCCGCGUUGUAAUUUGUAGAGGAUGAUUCGGCGAGGGCUCCCGUCUAAGUCCCCUGGAACGGGGCGUCAUAGAGGGUGAGAAUCCCGUAUGUGAUGGGUUGCCUUAGCCAUGUGAAUCUCCUUCGACGAGUCGAGUUGUUUGGGAAUGCAGCUCUAAAUGGGAGGUAAAUUUCUUCUAAAGCUAAAUACCGGCCAGAGACCGAUAGCGCACAAGUAGAGUGAUCGAAAGAUGAAAAGCACUUUGGAAAGAGAGUUAAAAAGUACGUGAAAUUGUUGAAAGGGAAGCGCUUGCAGCCAGACUUGUCCGCAGUUGCUCAGCCGGUCUCCUGACCGGCGUACUCUUCUGCGGCCAGGCCAGCAUCAGUUCGGGCGGUCGGAUAAAGACCCCAGGAAUGUAGCUCCUCUCGGGGAGUGUUAUAGCCUGGGGUGGAAUGCGGCCAGCCUGGACUGAGGAUCUCGCUUCGGCUAGGAUGCUGGCGUAAUGGCUGUAAGCGGCCCGUCUUGAAACACGGACCAAGGAGUCUAACAUCUAUGCGAGUGUUUGGGUGUCAA